Myodes glareolus (Bank vole) is the source of this 853-nucleotide long non-coding RNA. RefSeq lists it as uncharacterized. NCBI's taxonomy places the organism in Eukaryota, Metazoa, Chordata, Mammalia, Rodentia, Cricetidae. The record is from RefSeq and is a predicted model, not a curated record.
GGGGAGGUCGCCUCUGGAGCAGGAGGAGGAGCCCGCAGGGUGUAGCGGGCUCCCUACCAGUCCCUUCAGCGUCGCUUGGGGCUAUCGGUCCCGCUACACCUCAGAGCUGGAAACUGCCUUUAGUUAUCCCGUAGGCUAUUUGAGCUCCAAGCGUGGGAACCAGAGGGGAGAUAGUAAUAGUAGACUAGGUGGAGCUUGAGCAGAAGUGAGAAUACUGGCUGGCGGUUCUUUUUAAAAAAGGAACCCAUACUGGACUCACCUGUAACUCCAGCUCUGGGGGAACCCAUCUUUAUAUAUGUGGCACAACUGUCAUACACAAAUACAUAUACCAUACAUAAAUGUAUGACAUAUAUUUGCAUGACAGUGAAGACCAGGCAUGGAAACAUGAACACUGAGCAAUAAGUCAGGAUGUUUGACAAUUAAAAUAUAGAUAAUGUGUGUGUGUGUACAAGAGAGCUCUACAACCAGGUGAAAAAAGGCUUGGCACAAAUGAUUCAGGUGUUUGUCACAGAACUGGGUGAUAUUUUUCCAUACUCAAAUACCGGAAGAGUCUUACUAUGCAGCCUACACAAGAACUUGUGAUUCUCAUGCCUCAGCUUCCUGAUGGGAUUACAGGCAUGGGACCAUGUUACAACUCUGCUGACACUGUUUCAACAAAAAGAACCAAAUCUUUUUUCGGAAGAUUGUAUUUACUUAUAAAAAUAUAAAACAGAUGGCUUGCAAGACUGAAUCAAAAUUGACCUUGAUGACAGAACACAUUUUUCAUCUUUAUAUUUAAGAUCUACCAGUUUACCAUAAGCAAUCAAUAAAUGCUAAGAAUAUCCAAGAAUCUUACGUUAUAAUUAUAACACUU